GAUGAACGCUGGCGGCGUGCUUAACACAUGCAAGUCGAACGAGAAAUGUAGACGGAAACCUUCGGGCGGAAGCCUUCAUUUCGAGUGGCGGACGGGUGAGUAACGCGUGGGUAACCUGCCUCAUACAGGGGGAUAACAGUUGGAAACGACUGUUAAUACCGCAUAAGACCACAGCAUCGCAUGAUGCGGGGGUAAAAACUCCGGUGGUAUGAGAUGGACCCGCGUUCGAUUAGCCGGUUGGCGGGGUAACGGCCCACCAAAGCGACGAUCGAUAGCCGAUCUGAGAGGAUGACCGGCCACAUUGGGACUGAGACACGGCCCAAACUCCUACGGGAGGCAGCAGUGGGGAAUAUUGCACAAUGGGGGAAACCCUGAUGCAGCGACGCCGCGUGAGUGAAGAAGUACUUCGGUAUGUAAAGCUCUAUCAGCAGGGAAGAAAAUGACGGUACCUGAGUAAGAAGCCCCGGCUAACUACGUG
This 478-nucleotide ribosomal RNA is filed under the name uncultured bacterium. RNAcentral describes it as "partial 16S ribosomal RNA". It matches the Rfam family "Bacterial small subunit ribosomal RNA", at positions 28 to 507 of the family's 1533-position model. The record is from RNAcentral.